CGAAUUGCUUGAUUCACUUGCGAAAAGCGAUUGGGUUUAGACCCGAAAGUGUGACGAUUGGGUCUGUAGCUCAGUUGGUUAGAGCGCACCCCUGAUAAGGGUGAGGUCGGCAGUUCGAAUCUGCCCCGACCCCACCAAUUGUCGAGGGCGCAGCAGGUCUGAAGGGGCCAUAGCUCAGCUGGGAGAGCGCCUGCUUUGCACGCAGGAGGUCAGGAGUUCGAUCCUCCUUGGCUCCACCAUCCACACAAUCGCUGAAAGCUCAGAAAUGAGUGCCUGGUUCAGGUAUUGAUUUCUGGUCUUUGCGCCAGAACGUUCUUUAAAAAUUUGGGUAUGUGAUAGAAGUGACUUGUUGAGUGUUUCACUGCACUCAGCAACUCAAGGCAAAAUUUGCGAGUUCAAGCGCGAAUUUUCGGCGAAUGUCGUCUUCACACCAUGACCACUGGCAGAUUGCU
RNAcentral lists this transfer RNA (452 nucleotides) under Pseudomonas sp. TPF18. Its description in RNAcentral is "partial 16S-23S ribosomal RNA intergenic spacer". The stretch from base 164 to 236 matches the Rfam family "tRNA". Lineage: Bacteria; Pseudomonadati; Pseudomonadota; Gammaproteobacteria; Pseudomonadales; Pseudomonadaceae. The record is from RNAcentral.